AUCAGUUAUGGUUUAUUUGAUGGUACCUUGCUACUUGGAUAACCGUAGUAAUUCUAGAGCUAAUACAUGCAGGAGUUCCCGACUUCGGAAGGGAUGUAUUUAUUAGAUAAGAAACCAAACCGGUCUCCGGUUGCGUGCUGAGUCAUACUAACUGCUCGAAUCGCACGGCUUUACGCUGGCGAUGGUUCAUUCAAAUUUCUGCCCUAUCAGCUUUCGAUGGUAGGAUAGAGGCCUACCAUGGCGUUAACGGGUAACGGAAAAUUAGGGUUCGAUUCCGGAGAGGGAGCCUGAGAAAUGGCUACCACAUCCAAGGAAGGCAGCAGGCGCGUAAAUUGCCCGAAUCCUGACACAGGGAGGUAGUGACAAGAAAUAACAAUACAGGGCUCUUCGAGUCUUGUAAUUGGAAUGAGUACAAUUUACAUCUCUUCACGAGGAUCAAUUGGAGGGCAAGUCUGGUGCCAGCAGCCGCGGUAAUUCCAGCUCCAAUAGCGUAUAUUAAAGUUGUUGCAGUUAAAACGCUCGUAGUCGGAUUUCGGGGCGGGCCCGCCGGUCUGCCGAUGGGUACGCACUGGCGGGCGCGUCCUUCCUCCCGGAGACGGCCGCUACUCUUAACUGAGCGGUGGUCGGAGACGGGAUGUUUACUUUGAAAAAAUCAGAGUGUUUCAAGCAGGCAGUCGCUCUUGCAUGGAUUAGCAUGGGAUAAUGAAAUAGGACUCUGGUGCUAUUUUGUUGGUUUCGAGCACCGGAGUAAUGAUUAACAGGGACAGUCAGGGGCACUCGUAUUCCGCCGAGAGAGGUGAAAUUCUCAGACCAGCGGAAGACGAACGACUGCGAAAGCAUUUGCCAGGGAUGUUUUCACUGAUCAAGAACGAAAGUUAGGGGAUCGAAGACGAUCAGAUACCGUCGUAGUCUUAACCAUAAACCAUGCCGACUAGGGAUUGGAGGAUGUUCCGUUUGUGACUCCUUCACCCCUUUCGGGAAACUAAAGUCUUUGGUUCCGGGGGGAGNUGGUCGCAAGGCUGAAACUUAAAGGAUUGACGGAGGGCCCCCCCAGGAGGGAACCUG
Molecule: ribosomal RNA, 1065 nt
Filed under: Isochrysis galbana
Lineage: Eukaryota; Haptophyta; Isochrysidales; Isochrysidaceae
Description: SSU rRNA
Rfam family: Eukaryotic small subunit ribosomal RNA
Source: RNAcentral